AUGCCGUCCCCGCACAGGCAGCGCAGCGCGUCCCUGCUCCUCGUCAGCCGCAGGGCAGCCGCCGCGCGUCCCCCCGGCCGGGCGUCCCCAAACUGGGCACCCCGCAUCCCGCAGUGCCGGGAGGAAAGGGCAAAUUCUCCGUCUGCACCGGGAUUGCUAGGCGCUGCGACGGCCUGGACGCGCGCGAUGGGCCGCGUUGGCAGUUCUGCAGCGUUUGCUGCUGCCGCCGCCGCAUGCGCGCGGCUCAGCCCCCGUGCAUCGCCCAUCGGGAGCGCCAAAAAGACUCAUUUCCUAACCUCAGGCCGUGGCACUGGGCUGGAGCUGGGGGUUGUGCUCCGGGUGACCUGGGACAGCAACGCGCGCUUGCUCCGCGSCUGGCCAAGCCUCUGGGCACCCGUCCCAGCCUGCCCGAAACGCCGCCACCCCCCCGCGAGGCUUUCAGGGGCUCUUGCCCAGCCCCUGCCGCGCGGCAGCCCGCGGUUGCGCCUUCGCCUUGUUUGCUGUCGGGUCCUGCGCCCCAGGGACGUCGCCGCCAGCCUGCCAGCCUUUCCGACCGAAGCCACCGCCGUGCCUAACGCCGACUGCAAAGGAAAGGAGCGGCAGACGCUCCAGGAUAACAUCGUCUCCUGCCUGGUGGGAGUCAAAGAGAACUGCCUGCUUGUUCGUUUGGAGAGGUGCCUGCAGAGGAAAGGAGUUUCCGUCCCUGAAGUUCCUUCAACAAACUCUUGGACUGAGCAUUGUCUCCGCUCGACGGGAGCUGAGACUGCUCCGCCACGGAGAGGAGAAACCCGGCGUUUCACGGGAUCCAGCCUUUUCCCACCUAGGCUUUGGUUGCUUUGCUCUGCGGUGCCGCCGAGGGCAUGGCGCUCGGUGCCAGCGCAAGACCCGGCUUCAGCAGCUCAUCCCAGGGGGACUCGGAAGCAGAGAGCAAUGCUGUCUUCUGAGCAAGAGCCACGGCUUCCACCGACCAGCUGGGAGACCUCCCCGUCCACGCCCGAGGUCCUCCCGCCGUGCCGCGCUCUGGCACCCCAAGCCCAAAGCUCGCAGGGAGUUCAGCCGGGGACUGCAAGUGCACGGAGCAGGUCCAGGGCCAGUUUUGUGCCAGAAGCAUCUGAACAACAUACCAGAACCUGUUCUUGGCGAACCAGAGUCACGUCCCGGCCAUGCAGGGCAGCGUUCCAGCACCACCUUCCAGACAAAAUUAGCCCUUUUCUGGCCCAGCCCGCACGCCGAUCCAGCUGA
This 1242-nucleotide long non-coding RNA is filed under the name Apteryx haastii (Great spotted kiwi). Its description in RNAcentral is "lncRNA (ENSAHAG00000010005.1)". Lineage: Eukaryota; Metazoa; Chordata; Aves; Apterygiformes; Apterygidae. The record is from RNAcentral.